Molecule: unclassified non-coding RNA, 203 nt
Filed under: Tremellomycetes sp.
Lineage: Eukaryota; Fungi; Basidiomycota; Tremellomycetes
Description: partial contains small subunit ribosomal RNA, internal transcribed spacer 1, and 5.8S ribosomal RNA
Rfam family: Eukaryotic small subunit ribosomal RNA (bases 1-46)
Source: RNAcentral
AAGUCGUAACAAGGUUUCCGUAGGUGAACCUGCGGAAGGAUCAUUAGAGAUUGGCCUAUGGCCGUGUCUAUUCCACACACACCGUGAACUGUGUACGUCUGGAGGCUCUCGGGCCCCCGAUGCAAAAACACCAAAACAAUGUGUGAUGAAUGUAAACUAUCGUAACAAAAACAAAACUUUCAACAACGGAUCUCUUGGCUCUC